GCAUUCGCCGGCUCCCAGCAUCCGUUUCUCGAGACUUCUUGUCGAACAAUGUGUGACUAAGUUAUCAGGAUUUCAUUUUCUUGGAGCUUUUCUUGGACCAGAGCUUAAGCUAUCAUUACGCUGCGAGCUUCCUUCCACACACCAAUUACAUGCGUGCAUAUAUUUGUCGUCAAAUACCUUACAAUCCAUGUUUUUAAAUUUAUUUGUUUUUUUAGAGUAGAGUAUGAGUCGGGGAGAGGGGCAGAGCGAGAGAAAAAAUCUGAAGCAUGCUCCGUGCUCUGCCUGACCUUGGGCUUGAUCCCACGACCUGGGAGCAUGACCCGAGCCGAAGUCGAGAGUCGGACACUUGACCAACCGACUGAGCCACCGAGGUGCCCCUUAAAUCCAUAAUUGUCGAUAUCUACAGAUAAGGUGACCACAAUAUUGUAUAUUGCACCGAUGCAUAUACAUACAUCUAAUCAGAACAUUUAGAAAAUCCAGUAAGGCUCUCCUCAGUACACACGUGAACUCUAUAUAAGCCUUUGAAUCGUUCACCUUCGUUGUCUGUUGCCCAAACUUCCCCUUGGAACAUUCUGGUCUUGCCUUCUAGUUUGCCUUCCAAACAUCGUAUUUACCGUUUGGAUUAAAGUUUAAAUGUGUUCCGUGUUAACCUCAGCAGCACUUGUGUUGAGCACCUACGAUGUGCUAGCCUGGGUCGCAGAGUUCUAAAGGGGAAGGAGGCACGGUUCUUGCCCUGGAGAAACAGGGGGGCUUCUGCACUGUGCCGGGGAGCAUCUGAGACCUCAUCGGAGAAGCAGGCAUUCUCCUCGCAGCCUUGAGGAAUACAGGCCACACCGAGAGCUCCAAAACACGAUGCUUGUGCAGCCUCAUUUGUCAACCCAUCUCGAGCACGCUGUGGUUUGGUACGAGCUGUUCAUCAAGGCAUGAAGCAGUUAAGUAAACACUCGUGCUUGUCUAGAGAAUUCUUCCCUCUGUGAGUCUGUUCUGACCACAGUGACCUCUCUUGUGCUGCCUGGGAUCUGGUUAAUCUCUGUCUUCUUCUGAGUAAAGCACACAGCCCACACACUUCCGCCUGUCAGCCCAGGAGACAUCCAGUCCUGGCGCUGGGUGCCUGCAGCUCAAGGGCAAGGGACGGCCGCGGAUGUCACCACGUUGGCCUCCUGACUGCGACCGCCCCGAGGGCUGGCAGACGACCCAUGUCUGUGCCCAGGACGCUGCAGUGACGAGAUGAUGUUUUCUUAGACACAUCAGAAUUUAUCCAGCCAAAUUUUCAUCCCCUGGAGUGGGUGCCCCCAGAUUCCAACAGGGAAGCUCUGUUGGUUUCUUUAUCUGUGAAGGGAGAGAAUGGCAUAUUGAGAAGAGCACAGUCAGACAUCACAGAGCUGAGACGCAGGCCUCAUCAGUUGCUGUUACUGGUCACGGUCUCACGGUCCAUGAGUUCAAGCCCUACAUCGGGCUCUGCGCUGACAGCACGGAGCCUGCCUGGGAUUCUCCGUCUCCUGCUCUCUCUGCCCCUCCUCUGCUCUCUCUGUCUCUCAAAAUAAAUAAACAAAAAAAAAGAAAUAAAG
Molecule: long non-coding RNA, 1568 nt
Organism: Neofelis nebulosa (Clouded leopard)
Lineage: Eukaryota; Metazoa; Chordata; Mammalia; Carnivora; Felidae
Exons: 2
Source: RefSeq, a predicted model, not a curated record